This 674-nucleotide ribosomal RNA is filed under the name Liposcelis bostrychophila. Its description in RNAcentral is "12S ribosomal RNA". Lineage: Eukaryota; Metazoa; Arthropoda; Insecta; Psocodea; Liposcelididae. The record is from RNAcentral.
UUUAAAUUAUGCAAUAGCAAAUCAGUUGAGUGAGUAAAUUAAAAAAAUUUUAAACUUCCCAAAUUUUGAAGAUUAAUAGCUAGACUUAAGGAUUCGCUCAGAGUUGAUUUAUUAAGGAGAGAAAUCUGUGUGCCAGCACUAGCGGUAAAACAUAGCCCCAUUUUAUUCUUUCUUAGAUUUUGUUUAUAGGAUGGUUAACUUAGAGUUUAUUGAGUCUAAUUUUAAAUUCUUCAGCUUUUCGACAUAGGAAGUAGGUGAAACAGACUAGGAUUAGAAACCCUAUUAUUUCUAUUACUCAUAUUCUAAAGACUAACAAUGAUCUGUGGCGGCUCUCUUUCAAAUUAGAGAUCCAUGAACCUAAUGGACAACCCACCCAAAUCUUCGUAUGUUUAGCUCUACAUUUUUUAUAUCGCCGACUGAAAAAAAAAUCAUAAAUUUUUAUUUUGUCAGUUUAAUACUGAUAAGUCAGGUAAAGAUGAAGAUUAUAGCAUUGAAAGUUUGUGGAUCAAAAAUUUUCAGGAAUUAGGUAGUUGAGACGCUAUAAAAAUGAAUUUAAAAGUAAAGCUUCUUAAUUAAAGUGACUUGAAAAUUGUUAAAGAGAGUGUACAUACCGCCCGUCACUUCCCCAUAGGAAUAAGUCGUAACAUGGUUAAUCUACUGGAAGGUGGAAUAUA